Molecule: non-coding RNA, 203 nt
Organism: Pelobates cultripes (western spadefoot toad)
Lineage: Eukaryota; Metazoa; Chordata; Amphibia; Anura; Pelobatidae
Source: the annotation of a GenBank genome assembly
GUACUAUUUCAAUAGUGUAAGAUGUAACUCUUGGGUUAUUUGAAAUUUUUCUGAUCAUUGCACGGUCUGACCUUGGGGUGAACUCACAUGGGACUUCUAGCUCAGGGAACAACAGAUAUCAUCAACCCCUAGGUGUUAAACCACCAAUUGGCUCUAGGUUGCAUGUAAAUCUGAAGGCAUGGCAUGCAGAAGGGAUCUGGGAG